RNAcentral lists this long non-coding RNA (1653 nucleotides) under Capsicum annuum. RNAcentral's name for it is "long non-coding RNA (CANN_LNC017977)". The record is from RNAcentral. Lineage: Eukaryota; Viridiplantae; Streptophyta; Magnoliopsida; Solanales; Solanaceae.
AAUUGGGUCAGAAACUACAUUUGUUUCAAAGAUGAUAAUAUCUAAUAUAAAAUCAAAUUCAUCCUCAUUUAAUUUCAUGUCAAAAUAGCAGUUUGACGACGACUAAAAAUUUUCUAAUUCAAACUGCUCAAAAUUUAGAAAAUCCUAAUUUCUCCCCUACAAAUAAGAGUCAAUCUUCGGCAAAAAAACACAACAAAAAACACCAUUUGCUUUCCCAUCUCAAAAAAACACAUUUCUCCUCCUUCUCUUUAGCUAUGAUGAGGAAAGGCUCAAACAAGAAACAUGGUGUUGUUAUCAAUACCGUCACACCGGCACUUGAGCAAUCAAAAAACAUGGUGACUCACAAAGAACUCAACAGGCAAAGGAUGGGUGAAAAAUAUUAAAGUUGAUUUUUUGGAUAGCAUAGAUUUUCUAUUAAAAUUUCUAGACUAUACUCUGUAAUUUCUUGAAUAAUCAUGUUGAAGAAAUAUCAAGAUAUUUAAGGUAAUUUUAGGUAGAAUAAUCUAGAAAAAGAUAGUAUAGUUAUUUGAUAUGUGUAUUUAGAAAAGAUCUAGAUAUUAGAUGGUGCUAGAUAUUUGAGGGAGAUUUUUGUGUAAGAACAUAGAACACUCUAGAUUUGUAGUAUCUAGAAUUAUUCCUACACAAGUAUAAAUAGGGGAUGACAUUAGUUAUUUGUAACCAUCCAAAAAUAAAUCCAAUACAAAGCAUAUUAAGUAGUCUUCUUCUAUAUCUAAGCUCUCUUAGUCAAUAUUUUUCUUCACAUUUUUAGCUUCCUCUUCUUAGUUGAAUCUUUCGAUUUUAGUUAACAAUCUUAGGCUAGCAGAAGAUUUCCUAAAUAUACCUUUCUUUUUCUAUUCUCUACAGGAUGAAGGAGUUGACGGAAUAGCUGCAAAAGCUAAGGAAGGAGAACAAAAUCAUGGAGAUGAUAAUCAAGAUGAAUGAAGUGUUGAAGGGUGUAAAGAUAUAAUCGUUGAUAUGCACGCUGACGAUAGUUAACACUCAAACAAUGGUAUAAAGAGAUAAAAGAGAGGGCUGACAAAUAGGGUUUGACAUCGGAUGCCCCUCAAUCCUUUGCCCUAUAUUGUAAUUUACUAAUGUUCUUAAUCAAUAACGAACUCCAUAUUAAAAAAUUAUAGGUUAAUUAAGGGCAAAAUACAUAGAUAGACCUUUGAAUUUUUUUAAUUUUAUCGCAUUGGCACCUCAAUUAGGCCAUGUAUCUAUUGAACACCUCAACUAUAUUCAAACUAUGUCAAUUGAGCACAAAUUGCGCAAUUUUAAAUUUGAUUCAGAGCGUGAAAUGCACUUUACCAUGACAUGAAAAUUAUAACCAAUGAUAAAAUUUCAAGUCAUCAAAGAAGAAAAAAAAUCAAAAUAAAAAUUAAGAAAAAAAAAAUAUUUUUUGCUUAUUCUUCUUUUUCCUCUAAACUUUUUCUUUCCAGCAUUGAAGCACCACUAACUAAUAGCAUAUACUCAAUUUCUUCUUUCUCUUUCUUCUUCCAUUAUCAUUUUACAUCCAUUCUAAUUUAAUUUUAUUUUUUGCUUCUUUUAAUUUUUCUCUCAUUUUUCAAACACAAUUGUUAGUGAGAAGAAAAAAGAAGACCUCAUUUUCACUCCUUCAUUUUUUCACCAAAACAACACCCAAUAAUCAUUAAA